AAGCGAGCCUGCGAAGGCAAGCGGAUCUCUUAAAGCUGUUCUCAGUUCGGAUUGUAGGCUGCAACUCGCCUACAUGAAGUCGGAAUCGCUAGUAAUCGCGGAUCAGCAUGCCGCGGUGAAUACGUUCCCGGGCCUUGUACACACCGCCCGUCACACCAUGGGAGUCGGUAACACCCAAAGUUGGUAGUCUAACCGCAAGGAGGACGCCGCCUAAGGUGGGAUUGAUGACUGGGGUGAAGUCGUAACAAGGUAAC
Molecule: ribosomal RNA, 254 nt
Filed under: uncultured bacterium
Lineage: Bacteria
Description: partial 16S ribosomal RNA
Rfam family: Bacterial small subunit ribosomal RNA
Source: RNAcentral